GCAAUAGUGGUUCAGUGGUAGAAUUCUCUUCUUCCAUGUAGGAGACCCAGGUUCAAUUCCCAGCCAAUGCA
Molecule: transfer RNA, 71 nt
Filed under: Loxodonta africana (African savanna elephant)
Lineage: Eukaryota; Metazoa; Chordata; Mammalia; Proboscidea; Elephantidae
Rfam family: tRNA
About the family: Transfer RNA (tRNA) molecules are approximately 80 nucleotides in length. Their secondary structure includes four short double-helical elements and three loops (D, anti-codon, and T loops).
Source: Rfam by way of RNAcentral